This 1397-nucleotide long non-coding RNA is filed under the name Homo sapiens (human). RNAcentral describes it as "novel transcript". The record is from RNAcentral. Lineage: Eukaryota; Metazoa; Chordata; Mammalia; Primates; Hominidae.
GACACACAGGUGGCCAUACCUCCAGAGAAGUACUUCAGCGGUAGAAGACUCAAGCGGCUGGUCCUCCAGAGGACCUCGAGAGGAGCAUGUUGGCAGAAAAACACACCGACAGACAUCUGCACGCCUGCAGGCCAUUGAUUGAGGGGACUAGGCGGAGUUUGGCCGGGGCUGUUGGAGGAGAGCCGGGGCCACCUAGCGGCCCAAUUCCAGGGGAAAAUCGUCUGCCUCUGGCUCCUCCAUCAGCUGAGAGCUACUUCCACUCAAUAAAACUUUGUACUCUUUCUCCAGUCCCGCAUGUGAUCCGAUUCUUCCGGUACACCAAGGCAAGAACCCGGGAUACAGAAAGCCCUCUGUCCUUGCGACAAGGUAGAGGUUCUAAUUGAGCGGACUUACACAAGACACCUAUAGACGGCAAAUUAAAAGAGCACCCUGUAACACACGCCCACUGGGGCUUCAGGAGCUGUAAACGUUCACCCCUAGACACUGCCGUGGAGUCAAGAGCCCCACAGCCUGCCCAUCUGUAUGCUCCCCUAGAAGUUUGAGCAGCGGGGCACUGAAGAAGCAAGCCACACCCACAUCGCACGCCCUGCGAGGGGGAUGACGGAACCUUUCCCGUUUCAAUAUGACCAUAGCUGCAGUUAUGGCAUUAACCACCCAGUUGUUACCUACUUCUAGAUGAAAGCUCAAUUUUCCUACAUAAUUAAGAGUUUGGAAUUCGGGCAAUAUCAAGAACCACAUCUGUCCUGAAAUCAAUUAUCUCUGUUUGUGGCCAUGGUCCAUGCCUCCUUUACUACAUCAGAUCCACCUAGUCCCUGGACUAAUCAGAAACACAAGAAAUAAGAAGACCAUUUUGAGAAGAACAGAGAGUAGCCUUAAGAAAAUCCCUGUCGCAAGCACUCUGGGAUUUGGACUCAAAUGCUAAUUAUACAAUGAGGAAAUUGAGAUACAGAAAGGUGAAGAAAUAAUGUCACAUAGUAGUGGAGUCAGAAUAAAAAUGCAGACAGGAACCACUUGGGUGCCCAGCUGCUGUCCAUUCUCUACACUUAUCCCACCUGAUGGAAGGCUGUUAAGAAAAACAUCACUGCAAUGCCUAAUAAACAGACAUGGGUCCCAGACCCAAUAAGAGUGAAACCAUCCCCCUAUUUAAAUGAAAUUAUGGCUGAUGAGAAAGACAAAUUAAUUUCUCUGUCCCUAGUAUUACACAAAACUUUGGAUGCUGCCAUUGUUACAAUUUUAUUUUCCCCAGGAGCUCAGAGUCCCACCUUCAUUCUUUUUGUUUAAUGCUUAAGCUUGCCUGUCCACCUAUGGAAGACUAGAAUGAGCAAAGACCAUGUAUUCAAUGAUCUGUAAAUCUAACAGGAAACAAUAUAAUAAAUAUAUUGUGUUUGCUAACCAAA